AUACUUACCUGGGCGAGGUCAAUUAGUGAUCAGGAAGGUUGAUGGCAUAGAGAGAGAACCUUCAUUGCACUUGGAAGGGGGCUCUAUCUAGAAUCUCCCUAUGUGGAGAGUGCAUUCCAUAGUUUGUGACAGAGAGGGCUCACGUUCGUGCGACUCCCAA
Cryptomeria japonica (Japanese cedar) is the source of this 160-nucleotide small nuclear RNA. RefSeq annotates it as U1 spliceosomal RNA. The record is from RefSeq and is a predicted model, not a curated record. Lineage: Eukaryota; Viridiplantae; Streptophyta; Pinopsida; Cupressales; Cupressaceae. The transcript has a single exon.